UGGAAAACGGCAGCUUACACAUGCAAGUCGAGGGGUAUUGGUUUUCGGACCAAGAGACCGGCGCACGGGUGCGUAACGCGUAUGCAAUCUACCUUUUACAGAGGGAUAGCCCAGAGAAAUUUGGAUUAAUACCUCAUAGCAUAGCAGCUUCGCAUGAAGCCACUAUUAAAGUCACAACGGUAAAAGAUGAGCAUGCGUCCCAUUAGCUAGUUGGUAAGGUAACGGCUUACCAAGGCUACGAUGGGUAGGGGUCCUGAGAGGGAGAUCCCCCACACUGGUACUGAGACACGGACCAGACUCCUACGGGAGGCAGCAGUGAGGAAUAUUGGACAAUGGGCGCAAGCCUGAUCCAGCCAUGCCGCGUGCAGGAUGACGGUCCUAUGGAUUGUAAACUGCUUUUAUACAGGAAGAAACAGUUCUACGUGUAGAACCUUGACGGUACUGUAAGAAUAAGGAUCGGCUAACUCCGUGCCAGCAGCCGCGGUAAUACGGAGGAUCCAAGCGUUAUCCGGAAUCAUUGGGUUUAAAGGGUCCGUAGGCGGUUUAAUAAGUCAGUGGUGAAAGCCCAUCGCUCAACGGUGGAACGGCCAUUGAUACUGUUAGACUUGAAUUAUUAGGAAGUAACUAGAAUAUGUAGUGUAGCGGUGAAAUGCUUAGAGAUUACAUGGAAUACCAAUUGCGAAGGCAGGUUACUACUAAUGGAUUGACGCUGAUGGACGAAAGCGUGGGUAGCGAACAGGAUUAGAUACCCUGGUAGUCCACGCCGUAAACGAUGGAUACUAGCUGUUGGAAGCAAUUUCAGUGGCUAAGCGAAAGUGAUAAGUAUCCCACCUGGGGAGUACGUUCGCAAGAAUGAAACUCAAAGGAAUUGACGGGGGCCCGCACAAGCGGUGGAGCAUGUGGUUUAAUUCGAUGAUACGCGAGGAACCUUACCAAGGCUUAAAUGUAGUUUGACCGAUUUGGAAACAGAUCUUUCGCAAGACAAAUUACAAGGUGC
RNAcentral lists this ribosomal RNA (997 nucleotides) under Flavobacterium sp. RNAcentral describes it as "bacterial SSU rRNA". It matches the Rfam family "Bacterial small subunit ribosomal RNA", at positions 37 to 1041 of the family's 1533-position model. The record is from RNAcentral. Lineage: Bacteria; Pseudomonadati; Bacteroidota; Flavobacteriia; Flavobacteriales; Flavobacteriaceae.